This 71-nucleotide transfer RNA is filed under the name Equus asinus somalicus. RNAcentral's name for it is "tRNA-Phe". It matches the Rfam family "tRNA". Rfam says of the family: Transfer RNA (tRNA) molecules are approximately 80 nucleotides in length. Their secondary structure includes four short double-helical elements and three loops (D, anti-codon, and T loops). Lineage: Eukaryota; Metazoa; Chordata; Mammalia; Perissodactyla; Equidae. The record is from RNAcentral.
GUUAAUGUAGCUUAAUAAUAUUAAAGCAAGGCACUGAAAAUGCCUAGAUGAGUAUUCCUACUCCAUAAACA